Molecule: small nuclear RNA, 21 nt
Filed under: Arabidopsis thaliana (thale cress)
Lineage: Eukaryota; Viridiplantae; Streptophyta; Magnoliopsida; Brassicales; Brassicaceae
Description: snRNA_17236
Source: RNAcentral
AAUGAAUGAAUGUAUGAUCUU